This 350-nucleotide unclassified non-coding RNA is filed under the name soil metagenome. RNAcentral's name for it is "partial contains 5.8S ribosomal RNA, internal transcribed spacer 2, and large subunit ribosomal RNA". The stretch from base 1 to 120 matches the Rfam family "5.8S ribosomal RNA", at positions 35 to 154 of the family's 154-position model. The record is from RNAcentral.
GAUGAAGAACGCAGCGAAAUGCGAUAAGUAAUGUGAAUUGCAGAGUUCAGUGAAUCAUCGAGUCUUUGAACGCACAUUGCGCCCCCUGGCAUUCCGGGGGGCAUGCCUGUCCGAGCGUCAUUGCUGCCCUUCAAGCCCGGCUUGUGUGUUGGGUCGUCGUCCCCCCCGGGGGACGGGCCCGAAAGGCAGCGGCGGCACCGCGUCCGGUCCUCGAGCGUAUGGGGCUUUGUCACCCGCUCGAUUAGGGCCGGCCGGGCGCCAGCCGGCGUCUCCAACCUUCUAUUUUACCAGGUUGACCUCGGAUCAGGUAGGGAUACCCGCUGAACUUAAGCAUAUCAAUAAGCGGAGGA